This 460-nucleotide ribosomal RNA is filed under the name uncultured bacterium. RNAcentral describes it as "partial 16S ribosomal RNA". It matches the Rfam family "Bacterial small subunit ribosomal RNA", at positions 338 to 795 of the family's 1533-position model. The record is from RNAcentral.
CCUACGGGUGGCAGCAGUGAGGAAUAUUGGUCAAUGGCCGAGAGUCUGAACCAGCCAAGUCGCGUGAAGGAAGACUGCCCUACGGGUUGUAAACCUCUUUUGUCUGGGAGCAAAGCUAACCACGUAUGGUGCAUUGUGUGUACCCUAAGAAAAAGCAUCGGCUAACUCCGUGCCAGCAGCCGCGGUAAUACGGAGGGUGCGAGCGUUGUCCGGAAUUAUUGGGGUUAAAGGGUGCGUAGGCGGCAGGUAAAGUCAGGUGUGAAAGGUGCAGGCUCAACCUUUAUAUGGCACUUGAUACUUGGAAGAUGGAAUGCGGCAGAGGUAAAGGGAAGUCGUGGUGUAGCGGUGAAAUGCUUAGAUAUCAGGAGGAACUUCGGUGGCGAAAGCGGUCUACUGGGCCGUAAUUGACGCUGAGGAACGAAAGCCAGGGUAGCAAAUGGGAUUAGAUACCCCUGUAGUC